Molecule: long non-coding RNA, 3106 nt
Organism: Echinops telfairi (small Madagascar hedgehog)
Lineage: Eukaryota; Metazoa; Chordata; Mammalia; Afrosoricida; Tenrecidae
Exons: 3
Source: RefSeq, a predicted model, not a curated record
AGGGAUGCGGCGGUGACCUGUGGCGACGCGGCUGGAUACACCCCCCCGCCUGGGUCUGAUCUUUGGACUAGAAGUGGGUAAAGGUGAUGCACCUCCCAGCCGCCUGGAGCCCAGCUGGGGGAUUUCCCGAGCCUGACGGAUUUACAGGGAGAUUCGGCUGCCCAGGGAGAGUGCUGACCGGCUCUCCGUGGGAGCAUGUGGCCAGUGAUCCUUAGGCAGGAUCUGCUGUGGACUGCUGCAGCCUGGAGACCCAAGGGGACAGAGGACUGAGCUUCGCAAAGGGCAGAGAUGGCCAUCCUGGUCUUGGAGAGCAAUGCCUGCUUGGCCAUUGGCCACCUGGGGAAACAUCCAGUCUAGUUCAAAGGAAGGACUGCCUGCCUCUACCUCCCCCCAGUGAAGGUCCCGCGGCGCCCCUGCUGAUGGGCACAGGUUCUUAGACAAUUGCUCAUGAGUUCUCGCCCUCUGGACUCAGAGAGAGCUGAGCUGGUGGGACACAUACUCAGGCUUCACUGCAGAAGCUGUGCAAAAUGACUGGGCCAGUUUACACAGCCAGGGCUCUGCCCAGGGCUCUGUGUACCCUCAUCCUUGUGGGCUGGGCAACUCAGCCAUGCCAGCACUGUCCUAGCCUCUCUGGGCUUCUCCUUCAUGCUACCAAUGUCACUCACCCACCAACACACUCCGAGCUAUUCAUUCUUCUCUGUGACAAGGAGGUUGUCCCUCUGAAGUCCCAAUGGAGGUCUCCUAUGUCUCCGUGGCCAGAGCUGGGCCAGGGAUCCUCUCAACCAAUCCCUGACCAAGAUCCUAGGUCACCUGACUGUGUUCCUCCUGCCCCUGGCAGCACUGGCUGGCUGCCUAGUACUGCUUUAGAACUUGGACUGUCUUUAUCCUGAAGAAGAGAGCCAUGAUUGAUGUGCUAGCCGGCAACCCAGCGGAGACACACAGUACAGUUGAUUCCAACUCAGCGACCCUGCACAGCAGAGUAGAACCGCUCUGUUAGAGGGGCUGAAGCUGCCAUCCUGGUGGGAAUUGGCUGCCACAUCUUUCUCCCUCUGAGUGGCUGAUGGAUUCAAGCCGCUGACCUUUUGGUUAGCAGCCAGUUCAGGGCUCCUUUAAGACUCAUGCACCAGUGUUUAACUAUGCCUGCGUUUUUGAGUGCGCGCUGCUACUCCUGUGAAUGUCCAAGGGGUGGUCUUCAAAUCCCUGUCGUUAACCAUUGGCUGAGAGUACCAGACGCAUAAGUCAGCCAGCUCAUGCCCAAGGUCUUAGGGAUUAGCCCUGCCCCUCUCAGAGUGGAAGCCUGGCCGUCCUCUUGCUAGGUCAGACCUGUACCCCACCCCAGCCGCCCAGUUUCUGUUUCCCGGGGGAUCCCUGAGAGAGGGCUUUCUAGCUCUACAGGCCAGAGCGAGUAUGGAAGGCUUGCCUUGAGAGCAGGGACCCAGGUAGGGUGCCAGCUGAGGACAGGUGGAAUGAACCCCUGCCGGGAAGGUACUGCUUCCCCUUCCCACCAGCCACACAGAGACCACAGUUACCCUGUGCUCUGGGCUAACGCAGGAAAGUGUCCUGAAUGACACUUUAUACACCCCACCACCUGACUGUCGUACUGUGGUGGCUUGCAGGUCGCUAUGAUGAUGGCACCUGUGUUACAUGUGUUUUAGACACCAGGAGGUUCGCCCAUGGCGGACAGGUUUCAGCGGAGCUUCCAGACUAAGACAGACUAUGAAGAAGAACCUGGAGAUCCAACUCACAGAAAGUCACCCAAUGAGAACCUUGAGAUCAUAGGAGGAUACUGUCCGAUGGGGUGUGGGCAGUGAGCCCCUUGCGUGAGAGAGUACCCACACCAGGCCUGGGAAGGGUUUGCAGAGAGCUAUGGAUGACCGUGGAAACCCCAAGUCCAUUUGCAGAGACCCCACGCAUGUUAAGCCUCCAUUGAAUCCCCUUGGACCAUUGACCAGACAGAAGGAUUACUGCAGAUCGAGUCGCGUCAACUGUUAACCUCUGACCCUUUGUUUCCCUUUUCAGCCCGUUCUUGAUCAGCUCUAGUGCUUAUGGUUUUUCUGCUUUCUUUUGGAUUAUUCUGUCUUUUGUUUUGUUAUCGCAGUUGGCUUUCUUUUUGUUUGGGUAUGAUUUUUUUUAAUACAAAAUCCAGGAUCUGUAAAUCAAUAGAAACAGUAACUAGAUGAACAGCUUUGCCAUGUUAUGGCAGGGGAAAUUAGAGGAAACAAGGAACCAAUUAAUAAUGACAAGAAUGAAGAAAAUGUUCUGUAAUCGACUGUGGUGACGAUGGCACGGCACUCUUGAAACACAUUUGAGCUAUUUCAUUGUAUGAUAAAUGACUUACAUGUCAAUAAAACUUUAAAAAAGAAAAGAAAGACUUAACAACCAUAUAAACUUAAAAGACUGGAGAGGAGCUGCCUCCACAAAGCAUGACGUCCUGAGGAGGGACUGAUACCCACUGAAGGACAUCAUGCUUGCUCAAAUUGGGGUGGGGUGGGGGCUGAAGAAAGAGACAAGGCUCCUCAAUGAGUUGAGUUGGCACAACAUUGCCUUCUGCUAAACACAGGAACCGGGCAACGCGGUAUACUGUCAUACACAUGGUGAGUCAGCCAACAGGCAGCAGCCACAGCAUCCAACCUCUUACUCAGAGGAAAUGGAUAACUUUCUUUAUGGCAGGUGGCCCACUGUACAUUUUACUUCUGUAAUCUCACUCUGCCCACUGGACCGUCCUGUGAGGUGAGAAGGCCUUAACUAAGGGAGCACUUCUGUAUCAGUGGUUAAAGCACAGGCUCAAAUCCAACUUCCCGGAACCCCGGGUCCAACCUCUGCUGACUCUGUGGUCCUGGGCGAGUGAUGUCACCUUUCUGUGUUGCAGCUGUUUGGACACAGGAGAUAAUGACCGGAUGUUCAGGCGGCUCAGUGCGUGAUCAAGUGCUGAGAAUGACCCUGGCAUAGAGGAUGUGCCUGAGUCCCCAUGCUCCCUGAGAUGCUGGCUAGAAGUUCCACCGACGGGGUCUCAUUUGAUGGGCUUGGCCCCUUUAUUAGUCUGGGUACUUUGGAGAAACAAAUCCACAGCAACUCAUGUAUAAGAGAGCGUUUUAUGUAAAGAAAA